This 251-nucleotide long non-coding RNA is filed under the name Mytilus galloprovincialis (Mediterranean mussel). The record is from RNAcentral. Lineage: Eukaryota; Metazoa; Mollusca; Bivalvia; Mytilida; Mytilidae.
AUUCGUAUUUCCCAUAAAAAAAUAUGUUUUCCUUGAGGAUCUCAAAAUAAAUUACUGUACGAUCAGUCUAGAACUGACUGUAUUCUAGAAGCGAUUUCAGAUUUUUUGACUGUAUGACCAGUCGUGAUUUUGAAGAAAAAAGUAACAGCAAUUUGAAGGUAUAUACGUGUAUAUGUGAUAUUAUGAACUAUCCAGGGAACUAUAACGUGUAAUUACUUUCAUCAGACAAUACAAAUAUAUUUCUGAUGAAU